UUGCUGCAUAUCAAUAAGCGGAGGAAAAGAAACCAACCGGGAUUGCCUUAGUAACGGCGAGUGAAGCGGCAAAAGCUCAAAUUUGAAAUCUGGUACCUUCGGUGCCCGAGUUGUAAUUUGGAGAGGGCAACUUUGGGGCCGUUCCUUGUCUAUGUUCCUUGGAACAGGACGUCAUAGAGGGUGAGAAUCCCGUGUGGCGAGGAGUGCGGUUCUUUGUAAAGUGCCUUCGAAGAGUCGAGUUGUUUGGGAAUGCAGCUCUAAGUGGGUGGUAAAUUCCAUCUAAAGCUAAAUAUUGGCGAGAGACCGAUAGCGAACAAGUACAGUGAUGGAAAGAUGAAAAGAACUUUGAAAAGAGAGUGAAAAAGUACGUGAAAUUGUUGAAAGGGAAGGGCAUUUGAUCAGACAUGGUGUUUUGUGCCCUCUGCUCCUUGUGGGUAGGGGAAUCUCGCAUUUCACUGGGCCAGCAUCAGUUUUGGUGGCAGGAUAAAUCCAUAGGAAUGUAGCUUGCCUCGGUAAGUAUUAUAGCCUGUGGGAAUACUGCCAGCUGGGACUGAGGACUGCGACGUAAGUCAAGGAUGCUGGCAUAAUGGUUAUAUGCCGCCCGUCUUGAACCACGGACC
Molecule: ribosomal RNA, 620 nt
Filed under: Saccharomyces cerevisiae (brewer's yeast)
Lineage: Eukaryota; Fungi; Ascomycota; Saccharomycetes; Saccharomycetales; Saccharomycetaceae
Description: partial large subunit ribosomal RNA
Rfam family: Eukaryotic large subunit ribosomal RNA
Source: RNAcentral